RNAcentral lists this ribosomal RNA (256 nucleotides) under uncultured bacterium. Its description in RNAcentral is "partial 16S ribosomal RNA". It matches the Rfam family "Bacterial small subunit ribosomal RNA", at positions 524 to 776 of the family's 1533-position model. The record is from RNAcentral.
UACGGAGGAAGCAAGCGUUAUCCGGAAUUACUGGGCGUAAAGAGUUGCGUAGGUGGCAAAGUGUGUCAGUAGUGAAAGAGUGUGGCUCAACCAUAUAAACAUUACUGAAAACUGCUUAGCUAGGGGGACGAGAGAGGUUAUUGGAAUUCCCAGUGUAGGAGUGAAAUCCGUAGAUAUUGGGAGGAACACCGAUGGCGUAGGCAGAUAACUGGCUCGUUCCUGACACUAAGGCACGAAAGCGUGGGGAGCAAACGGG